This 997-nucleotide long non-coding RNA is filed under the name Homo sapiens (human). RNAcentral describes it as "HSALNT0343230". The record is from RNAcentral. Lineage: Eukaryota; Metazoa; Chordata; Mammalia; Primates; Hominidae.
AGAGUCUCCUCCCAGCUCCUUCCUGGCCUGCUAGUGAGUUCGCCUUGUUACUUUCUUUCUGCAAAAACUAAAGCCAGGAAUCAUUUUCAGUGAAUCAAUUGAAUACAGCUAGUAGAAACAUAAAAAGGUGGCAAUUAAACAGUAAGAAAGCAUCUGGCAUAAAUUAAGUGAACAGAUCACCAAAUCAUUUGGAAAACAACACAUAUAUUUGGCACUGGUUUUGGCAUUUGGAGGGAACACGCUUAGGAGUAAGAGUCUGCAACCAAGAAGCUUACAUUCUAAGAGAGAAAAUAAGAAAAUAAAGCCGAGCACGCCAAGAACCAAGGAGCCCAGGGCAGGCUGCACGGCAUGCCCUGUGCCCCACCCACACUGCUUCCUCUUCUGAAUCUCUGCACCCCUAAGUCUGGUUCAGUUUUGAGCUUCAGGCGUGGUCUCAUCCCUUUGGCACUUCUUUUCUCCAACCAAAAGUUCUCAGCUUCAAAAAAAAAAAAAAGAUGAGCAUGUUCAAUGACAAGAAAGUCUGUUUGAUGGUAAUCUAUAAAUUUGCCACAUAAAGCAUAAACCAUACCACAAAAAGCUUAAAGGAAUACCCACUGAAUUCCAGCUGCUGAAGGUUGUCCUGCCCUUUCCUUGUGGUCUCCAAACACAAGCUUGUUUUAUGUCACAUUAUUUUCUCCCCUCUUUAUGGGCCAGAUUCAAUUUGUCACUACUUGGAUAUUGAACACUUUUUGCAAAUUAAAGAGAAAGUCACCUCAGGCAACUUUCAAAUAGAGGCUUAUUGGGGACUUGAUGAUACUGCAAAUCAUUAAAGAACUUAGGUUCUGUACCUCUGCCCUCACUGAUCAAAUAGAGGCCACUCCUUUGAAGCCAGCAAGGACCCAUGGGACUGACCUAAUGCUUUUUGCCUUCAGCUUCUGAAGCUUAUCACAUUACUAAUGUUUGAGUCUCUAAUCCAGCUGGCUAGUUUAAUCAUCUUGAAGUAAAACAAUACUAUUAA